RNAcentral lists this ribosomal RNA (492 nucleotides) under uncultured bacterium. RNAcentral's name for it is "partial 16S ribosomal RNA". It matches the Rfam family "Bacterial small subunit ribosomal RNA", at positions 29 to 507 of the family's 1533-position model. The record is from RNAcentral.
AGUGAGCGCUGGCGGUAGGCCUAACACAUGCAAGUCGAACGGCAGCACAGUAAGAGCUUGCUCUUACGGGUGGCGAGUGGCGGACGGGUGAGGAAUACAUCGGAAUCUACUUUUUCGUGGGGGAUAACGUAGGGAAAUUUACGCUAAUACCGCAUACGACCUACGGGUGAAAGCAGGGGAUCUUCGGACCUUGCGCGAUUGAAUGAGCCGAUGUCGGAUUAGCUAGUUGGCGGGGUAAAGGCCCACCAAGGCGACGAUCCGUAGCUGGUCUGAGAGGAUGAUCAGCCACACUGGAACUGAGACACGGUCCAGACUCCUACGGGAGGCAGCAGUGGGGAAUAUUGGACAAUGGGCGCAAGCCUGAUCCAGCCAUACCGCGUGGGUGAAGAAGGCCUUCGGGUUGUAAAGCCCUUUUGUUGGGAAAGAAAAGCAGCAGGUUAAUACCCCGCUGUUCUGACGGUACCCAAAGAAUAAGCACCGGCUAACUUCGUG